UUCUUCUCUUUCUCUACUCAAUUGGAUCUCCAUUAGUAGACGCCGUUAGAAAAUUAUGAAAUUGGAGCAUUUUGAAGCUUAAAUAGCGGAUCAUGUUCAACGAUAUCAAUCAUUGAUAUGAAUACCCUUUUACCGGAAACUAUGUAAAAGUAUGCGCCCUCCGUUCACUUUUAGAAGUAUUCUAGCUUUAUUUAAAAAGAAAUGUAAGACUUUAGUUGUGAUUGCUAGUAGAGGAUGGUGCACGCCCCUAAAAAAGUGGGGCAGGAAAGUAUUCACUUUUGCUUCAAUAAGUGAUAAGUUGUUCUCCAUAUUGUACUGAUUAUUCUAUAGUCCCACUAAAAAAAGGAGAAGUACUACAUCUAGGGGUGGAAACGAGCCGAGCUCGAGCGAGCUUAUCUCGGCUCAAAUUCGGCUUGAAAUUAAUUUCGAGCCUAAAUUUAAGCUCAAGCUUAGAUUGAAAUUAAUUCGAGCCGAGCUCGAGCGAGCCUAAUUUUGAGUCGAGCGAGCUCGAGCCCUAAACGAGCCGCUUGUAAUUCUCAACAUCAUACGAUCAAUAGUUUAAUUUGUAUAGAACAUUNAUGAGUUAAAUUAAUCAUUUUAUAUUUUUUAUAUUAUUUGGUAAAAUAUUUCUUUGGGGAAGACAUUUCUGCAUAAUGCACUCUUGGAGGGAUAUAUUUAUAAAUGCAAAAAUAUCAUUUUACUUAUCCGCUGUUAAAAAAUAAACCGCCUCUAACGAUAACAAACUAGAGGGUAAAUUUAUAUGAAUAUCACUGGACUUUUGUAGGGAUAAAAAUAAAAAUUUUAACUUAUAAAAAUAAAAAAUUUAACUUUAUAGGGAUAUAUUUGCUAUUCGAUAUGUUUACAGAGACUCAGAGAGCUGUAUGCAAUUAAUCCAUUUUUUUAAUAGCACUAUUUAAAUAACACUAUUAAAUAAU
This 935-nucleotide long non-coding RNA is filed under the name Ananas comosus (pineapple). Its description in RNAcentral is "long non-coding RNA (ACOM_LNC017397)". The record is from RNAcentral. Lineage: Eukaryota; Viridiplantae; Streptophyta; Magnoliopsida; Poales; Bromeliaceae.